CAGCAGCCGCCGCGGGAAUACGGAGGGUGCAAGCGUUAAUCGGAAUUACUGGGCGUAAAGCGCACGCAGGCGGUUUGUUAAGUCAGAUGUGAAAUCCCCGAGCUUAACUUGGGAACUGCAUUUGAAACUGGCAAGCUAGAGUCUUGUAGAGGGGGGUAGAAUUCCAGGUGUAGCGGUGAAAUGCGUAGAGAUCUGGAGGAAUACCGGUGGCGAAGGCGGCCCCCUGGACAAAGACUGACGCUCGGGUGCGAAAGCGUGGGGAGCAAACAGGAUUAGAUACCCGUGUAGUCCCUGUCUCUUAUAC
RNAcentral lists this ribosomal RNA (304 nucleotides) under uncultured bacterium. RNAcentral's name for it is "partial 16S ribosomal RNA". It matches the Rfam family "Bacterial small subunit ribosomal RNA", at positions 506 to 807 of the family's 1533-position model. The record is from RNAcentral.